GUGUUAAUUAAACCUCUAUUUAC
This 23-nucleotide microRNA is filed under the name Callithrix jacchus (white-tufted-ear marmoset). Its description in RNAcentral is "cja-miR-2053". RNAcentral also lists the same sequence under 1 other name. Lineage: Eukaryota; Metazoa; Chordata; Mammalia; Primates; Cebidae. The record is from miRBase by way of RNAcentral.